CCUACGGGCGGCAGCAGUGGGGAAUAUUGGACAAUGGGGGGAACCCUGAUCCAGCCAUGCCGCGUGUGUGAAGAAGGCCCUCGGGUUGUAAAGCACUUUCAGUGAGGAAGAACGCCUGGUGGUUAAUACCCAUCAGGAAAGACAUCACUCACAGAAGAAGCACCGGCUAUCUCCGUGCCAGCAGCCGCGGUAAUACGGAGGGUGCGAGCGUUAAUCGGAAUUACUGGGCGUAAAGCGCGCGUAGGUGGCUUGAUAAGCCGGUUGUGAAAGCCCCGGGCUCAACCUGGGAACGGCAUCCGGAACUGUCAAGCUAGAGUGCAGGAGAGGAAGGUAGAAUUCCCGGUGUAGCGGUGAAAUGCGUAGAGAUCGGGAGGAAUACCAGUGGCGAAGGCGGCCUUCUGGACUGACACUGACACUGAGGUGCGAAAGCGUGGGUAGCAAACAGGAUUAGAUACCCCAGUAGUC
RNAcentral lists this ribosomal RNA (465 nucleotides) under Vreelandella stevensii. RNAcentral describes it as "partial 16S ribosomal RNA". It matches the Rfam family "Bacterial small subunit ribosomal RNA", at positions 338 to 795 of the family's 1533-position model. Lineage: Bacteria; Pseudomonadati; Pseudomonadota; Gammaproteobacteria; Oceanospirillales; Halomonadaceae. The record is from RNAcentral.